AUGUGGAAUGAUGAUCUCAAAAUUUCUGUUCAUACUGCCUCCUUUCAUUAUAUCUUAGCGAAUGUAGUACAUGUAGCGUCGGGUAUUCACUUCUGUUUGAUAUGUAUAUAUGGUGAUCCCUAUCAUAGGCAGACUAGUACUAUUUGAAAUCAUGUUUCCAGUUUUGUGUAUGAUAACCUGGGUAAGCCUAUGAUCUGUAUGGGCGACCUCGAUGACAUACUGUAUGAUGCUGAUAUAUCUAAUGGUUGUGUGAAUUACUAUCGUAUGUCUGGCUUUCAUUCUUUAAUUAAAAGUUGUGGUUUAUUUGAUAUCGGUUACAGUGGUCCUGCCUACACUUGGCGUAAUAGACAACAUACUGCUAAUCCUUUUACAGACGUCUAG
Molecule: ribosomal RNA, 381 nt
Filed under: Triticum aestivum (bread wheat)
Lineage: Eukaryota; Viridiplantae; Streptophyta; Magnoliopsida; Poales; Poaceae
Description: partial small subunit ribosomal RNA
Source: RNAcentral